Molecule: long non-coding RNA, 2844 nt
Organism: Nannospalax galili (Upper Galilee mountains blind mole rat)
Lineage: Eukaryota; Metazoa; Chordata; Mammalia; Rodentia; Spalacidae
Source: Ensembl
GUAAAAUUUGAUAGCUUUAACUUAAGGUCUUAUUUAAUGUGUUUUCUUAGGAGAAUAGUAAAUGUUGGUUGUGUAGUGCCUCAAAGUUAGCAGGAUAUAUCUUUUUAAAAAGUUUUUCUAGGUUAAUAUAGAUUUUUUUUUUUUUUUUCUUUCUAUUUAGGAUCAGACUACAAAUAUCCCAUGAAGCUGCUGCAUGCAUCACAGCUCUCAGGGCAGCCAUGGAAGCUCUGGUUGUUGAAGUGUCUAAACAACCAAAUAUCAUCAGCCAACUGGACCCUGUAAAUGAACAUAUGCUAAACACGAUCCGCCAAAUCUCUAGGCCCUCAGCUGCUGGUAUAAACCUUAUGAUUGGAAGUGUCCGGUAUGGCGAUGGUCCACGCCCUCCCAAGAUGGCCCGUUAUGAUAAUGGAAGUGGAUUUAGAAGGGGAGGAUAUGGUGGUGGGGGAUAUGGUAGCGGAGGAUAUGGUGGUGCCUAUGGUGGGGGAGGCUUUGGAGGCGGCUUUGGAAGUGGUGGGGGAGGCUUCGGAGGCGGCUUUGGCAGUGGUGGGGGUGGCUUUGGCAGUGGUGGGGGUGGUUUUGGUAGUGGAGGUGGUGGCUUUGGCAGUGGAGGAGGCGGCUUUGGUGGUGGCAGAGGUGGAGGCUUUGGAGGAGGUGGAGGCUUUGGAAGUGGUGGGGGCGGUUAUGGCGUUGGUGGAGGAGGCUAUGGAGGUGGAGGUGGUGGUUAUGGAGGUGGCAGUGGAGGAUAUGGAGGUGGUGGAGGCGGCUAUGGUGGUGGUGAAGGUUACAGCAUUAGCCCCAACUCUUACCGUGGAAAUUAUGGCGGAGGUGGUGGUGGAGGCUACAGAGGAGGUUCCCAAGGGGGCUAUAGAGGCAACUUUGGUGGAGAUUACAGAGGAUCUAGUGGAGACUACCGGGGAUCUGGAGGAGGCUUUAGAGGAUCUGGAGGAUUCCAGCGAGGGGGUGGCAGGGGUAACUAUGGGGGUGGUUAUUUUGGACAAGGAAGAGGAGGCGGUGGUGGCUAUUAGACUCUUGUUAUGUCAGUGCCUAUGCAUAGACAGUUAAAAAUAACAUUUAAGAAGCAUGCUAUGUGUUUUUUCCAAGACGUUUAUUUGCACCAAAAAAAAAAAACCCCAAUUUCCACCUAAUCUGUAGUUCAUUGUAGUUUCAAGCAACAAAGAAUAUAGAUUAGUGAUUUUGUUUAUAUUAUGUAAUGUAAAAUAUGACCUAUUAUACAAGUAUCACACCAUACAGUUUGUAUUUUUUCUUUAAUGAGUAAAGGUUUGCCUUUUAAAUUAACUUGACAUUUUCUUGGUUUUCAUUUAAUACAGUAGAAAAUAAAGUAUUACAUUAAAAAUGGUCUGUGUAGUUGAUUGUCUUACCUCGUUUUUUAUUUUGGUGUUUCUGAGAGUCUUCCUGUAGCCCCAGUUGGCCAUAAAGUAACCUCCAGAAUGCUGGGAUAAAAGGGCAUAUGUCACCAUUCACACCUGGUUCUCAAAAUAGUUCUACAAUGCCAUUGACACAAACACACACACACACAUUUGUGUGUGUGUGUGUGUGUUGAGUGUUUUGCCUGCAAGUACACCUAUGCCAAGCAAACCCAGCAGAGGCCAGAAGAGAGUUGGAUCCCCUGAAAUCAGUUUUGGUCAGUUGUUAGCUGGCAUGUGGGUGCUGGGAACCAAGCCCCCAUGAGCAGCCGAGUCAGUGCUCUUAACCACGGAGCCAUCUCUCCAGCCUUUUAUAUGGUACUGUUUCAAAGGAAGUAUACUGGAUUGUAUGGAGACUUCUAAUAGAAUAAAUUGCCUUGGAAAUAGUUUUUUUUUUUUUUUUAAGGCAGUGUCUCAGUAUUUAACAAUUGUUGGUCUUGAACUUUCAGUGAUCCUCCCUCAGUUCCGAGUAUUGGGAUUACAGACACACCUAUUGUACCUGGCUUGAAGUCCUGUUGUAAUACUAGUCUGCCCAGUCAUUUAGUUACCUCAGUUGACCUCCAUUUCCAGUAUGAAAAAAGAAAAAGAACAAGCUUACAGAAGUCUGCAACAAAGGUUUUGUGAAGGCCGAUUGGUGUAUACUUGACCAAUUUAUAUUAGAAUUCUUAGAGAUGUUUUGGUACCUUAAGUUUUUCCAGUGAAAUCUUUUGGAACUGCAGCUUCGUUACAAGGUUGGGGAAGGAGGAAGAGGAAAAUUUCAAAAUUCUAACAAAUCUUAAUGCUUUGUGCAUGCUCUAGAGGUGCUAGAAUGAAUGUAGGGAGCAAACCACUGAUCCUAUAGUCUGAAGUUUAGCUGGGAGAAAAUAUUUAGCCAAUGGUAGGAAAACAAAGGAAGAUGAUCAGUGAGUUUGAUCACAACAAAAGCUAUUCUUGCUCAUUCUGGAAGACUGAUCUUUACCCAACUAUUAUUUCUGAAGCCAAAAAUAGGGUGGAAGGAAAUCCCUGCUCAAAAUAAUGAUCCUAGUAAAGUUCCCAUGAGUAAUCCUAGGUACUAUCAUAAAAAGUUCAUGCAACCCUUCAUGAAUGAGACCUUAUAGUCUAUAUAUAGAAUUGCUUUCCUUUUAAAAGGGAAUGGCUCAGAGGCUUAGAGCACUGGCCGAGGUUUGGUUCCCACAUGAUAGCUGACAGUUUUAACUUUUAAGGGACUUGAUGGCCUCUGAUGGUAUUGUACAACAUUUCACUUAAAAGGCAAGCAAAAUUUUCAAACAUUUUUGUCUGUGAGGGUCUCCCAGCAGCCCCAGCUGUCCUGGAACUCACCAUAUGUAGACCAGGCUGGCCUUGAACUCACAGAUAGCAGCCUGCCUCUGCUGUGGGAUUAAAGGUGUGUGCCAAGCAAAAUUAAAAUAUUUUAAAAUCUUAA